UACGUAUGGAGCAAGCGUUAUCCGGAUUUACUGGGUGUAAAGGGAGUGUAGGUGGCCAGGCAAGUCAGAAGUGAAAGCCUGGGGCUCAACCCCGGGACUGCUUUUGAAACUGCAGGGCUAGAGUGCAGGAGGGGCAAGUGGAAUUCCUAGUGUAGCGGUGAAAUGCGUAGAUAUUAGGAGGAACACCAGUGGCGAAGGCGGCUUGCUGGACUGUAACUGACACUGAGGCUCGAAAGCGUGGGGAGCAAACAGG
RNAcentral lists this ribosomal RNA (253 nucleotides) under [Lactobacillus] rogosae. RNAcentral describes it as "Lactobacillus rogosae partial 16S ribosomal RNA". It matches the Rfam family "Bacterial small subunit ribosomal RNA", at positions 524 to 776 of the family's 1533-position model. The record is from RNAcentral. Lineage: Bacteria; Bacillati; Bacillota; Clostridia; Lachnospirales; Lachnospiraceae.